Molecule: long non-coding RNA, 914 nt
Organism: Helicoverpa armigera (cotton bollworm)
Lineage: Eukaryota; Metazoa; Arthropoda; Insecta; Lepidoptera; Noctuidae
Exons: 2
Source: RefSeq, a predicted model, not a curated record
GGGUAUACUUUUCCGAAAUUGUAGUACGACGAUUACCUAAUCAAAAUUUUUGAUACCCGCCGUCCGUGUAGCCCUUACAGACAAAUGACUACCCAUAUCUACAGGUACGUACCCCUACAAUAAAGUUAAUGACCAUAGACUUUAUUUAAGGGAUCAUUGGUACAUUGGUCUUAUAAUUUCGUGUUUGUAGCAAAUUAACAACGUACAAUACACUCAGUAACAAAAUGGAUUCAAACAAUAAACGAAUGGAAGAGAGCGACUACUUUGUGUUUUCUUGCAAACGAAUAAAACACUGCUUUUCGUGACGAAUUUGUUGCGCGUCCGCAAUGAAUUCGCUGCGUAUGCGCGGCGUGUUCGUUGCGCGCCCAUAACGUAUUCGUUGCGCGUCCGUUCCGCUUUGAAGACGCUCGCAAUCCGCUAGUAUGAAAAGGCCCUAACAGCUGGCAUUAUUUGAAUACUCUUUGAUGUUUCUGACUUCAUACGUUAUAGCUCCUGUGGCUUUUGGCAACUGUCUAAAUUGAAAGAUUGUAUCGCUCGUGAUGUCCGUUUACUUUAGACUGUCAUGGCAUUAAAAUAGUACUUUUGUGGAUGUGUUAAUAAAAGUGUCGCGUGUCAGGUACGUUCGUACAUUUUAUACAUGUACGUAUAUUUAAUUAAGUCCAUGGCUCCCCACCGUCCAGCUUGGAAGAUUCAACAAAUGUAUGGAUAAAACAUGGUAUAUAGUAUAGUACUAAUGACGCUUGUAUUAGUCAUGUGGCUACCGUGCAUCAAGGAGGGAAUGUGGGCGAAGCCAGGACCAGUGUUUGCGAGGGACCGCAAGAAUCGAAUAUUUCAAAUAACUCCUACAGGAAAGUGUUGCGAGAACCAGUGCAUGCAACGCAAAUGUUAAAAAAUUAUAAAUAUUGUUUUCGUUU